UGCUUUUUUUAGAUGAUGAGAAAGGAAAGUCAAGAUGAAUGAACAAGUUUGAUUUUUAUUUGAUUGGUUUGUUAUGUUCAUGUUAGUCUGGUAAAAAGUCUUAAACUAGGUCUGAGGAUUUAAUCUGUGCUUCUUCUUUGUUGGAAUUUUCUUUUUUUUUAUUUGGAAAUUAUU
RNAcentral lists this microRNA precursor (174 nucleotides) under Gossypium raimondii (Peruvian cotton). RNAcentral's name for it is "miR8691 stem-loop (gra-MIR8691)". Lineage: Eukaryota; Viridiplantae; Streptophyta; Magnoliopsida; Malvales; Malvaceae. The record is from miRBase by way of RNAcentral.